UAGGGAAUCUUCGGCAAUGGACGAAAGUCUGACCGAGCAACGCCGCGUGAGUGAAGAAGGUUUUCGGAUCGUAAAACUCUGUUGUUAGAGAUGAACAAGGACGUUAGUAACUGAACGUCCCCUGACGGUAUCUAACCAGAAAGCCACGGCUAACUACGUGCCAGCAGCCGCGGUAAUACGUAGGUGGCACGCGUUGUCCGGAUUUAUUGGGCGUAAAGCUAGCGCAGGCGGUUUCUUAAGUCUGAUGUGAAAGCCCCCGGCUCAACCGGGGAGGGUGUUUGGAAACUGGGAGACUUGAGUGCAGAAGAGGAGAGUGGAAUUCCAUGUGUAGCGGUGAAAUGCGUAGAUAUAUGGUGGAACACCAGUGGCGAAGGCGGCUCUCUGGUCUGUAACUGACGCUGAGGCUCGAAAGCGUGGGGAGCAAACAGG
Molecule: ribosomal RNA, 429 nt
Filed under: Gemmatimonadota bacterium
Lineage: Bacteria; Pseudomonadati; Gemmatimonadota
Description: Gemmatimonadetes bacterium partial 16S ribosomal RNA
Rfam family: Bacterial small subunit ribosomal RNA
Source: RNAcentral